CGCGAUAGAUAUCACAAAGAGUAAUAAAGACAAAACAAACCACAAGGUCUGAAGUAAAUUGUUGGCAAGUGUUAAAUUACUAAAUUUGCUUAAACUACUCUCUUAAACCUACUUUCUAUAUCUAGUAUUGCUUAUACGCUAAUUAUAUAUACUUAAGUACUACAUAUAAUUGUAAAAGAAAGUGAACUACUAGCAGUACUAGGUGAAUACUUAACAAGUUAUAUUUGCUUUCUACUAGCCGCAGCUCUGAAAAGGUUUCUACGGGUUCAUACUUGCAAGCAUAUUUACUGAGAUGCUGUACCGUCAAUAGGUGAAAUUUUGUACUCUAAA
Long non-coding RNA from Armigeres subalbatus, 330 nucleotides. RefSeq lists it as uncharacterized. The transcript has 3 exons. NCBI's taxonomy places the organism in Eukaryota, Metazoa, Arthropoda, Insecta, Diptera, Culicidae. The record is from RefSeq and is a predicted model, not a curated record.